GCUUGAAAUCCUCUCUAUUCUAUUGGAUGUUGCUGGGAUGUUAUCGAAAGCCGGAAGAAACGUUAAGUCUAGGGGAGGAGGAGUUUGGUGAAGGUUAGGGAGUUUGGCUCCUCUCCUGCGGGUGAUGGUUAUCUGCACAGACCGUCCUGUUUUUUCUCCUUCUUUUCAAGGUUGGAAUGGCCUUGCUCACGCACUUGGUUCUGCUCUUGUCUCAACUAAGCAAGCUAAACAAAUUUCUGCUGCCUGAGCCUGUGGCGGGGGCAAGUCUGACACCGGAUGGCUUUUUAGCUCAAAAUGGAAUAACUUUGGCUCCUCAGGCAAGUAGCAAAAAUGUCAAAGCAAACUCUGAACUCCUGUGAGAAGCAUAAGUGUGUUCAGUUUUUCUGUCCUGUGAUGCUCAGAGACAUUCCUGACUCUGCUUACUGACUUUCCCCUGACAGGGGAGGGGUUUCUGUUACCCUCGGGCUCAAGGAAGCUGGAACUGAGACUCAACCCUCUUUCUCUUAGUCAACACCACAAGUGCCUGCUGCAUGUGUCAACACUGUGCUCAGCGAUGAAGGAAAGAGAAAGCAGAAGAAAAGAGUUAAGGGAGGAGGAAGUGAAGGAGGGCAGCUGACUGAGAGGCACCAAGGCACAAGAGCUGACUCUGCAAAUAUGGAAGAAAAAAGUGUUUUGUGAAACACGCCCUUCCACGGGUGAUGUGCAGUAUGACCUUAGACGAUAUCUGGGAAAUGUCUCCCUUGGAGAUGGACCAUCCCAACACCAGCAGCUGUCACUUGUUCUCCUUGGAAUCCAGAGUUGCAUAAGGAGCAAGAUCAGCACUUUAGGGGUCCUGGACCCAACCAGGACCAGACUUUCCUUUGCACCUCUUAGCAUGGUGACCACAGUGAACAGGACAGUGAUGGAGAACGGGGUGCAGCGGAGCCUAUUUGACCAGCAGUCUGGAGGACCGCAUUUCCUAGGAGCCCCAGUAGGUCUAAGCUGUUUAUUCCAUCUUUCUCACUUAGAUAAACGCAGCUGCCUGAGCUUCACACAUCGGAUCUAUUACCCUCUCAAGCAGGAAUGACACAGGCACAGAAACAAUAAAAUCUUUUUC
This 1096-nucleotide long non-coding RNA is filed under the name Fukomys damarensis (Damara mole-rat). RNAcentral describes it as "lncRNA (ENSFDAG00000031896.1)". The record is from RNAcentral. Lineage: Eukaryota; Metazoa; Chordata; Mammalia; Rodentia; Bathyergidae.